CCUACGGGUGGCAGCAGUGAGGAAUAUUGGUCAAUGGGCGGGAGCCUGAACCAGCCAAGCCGCGUGAAGGAAGAAGGCGCCAAGCGUCGUAAACUUCUUUUGUCGGGGAACAAAGGGCGCCACGUGUGGCGCUGUGAGAGUACCCGAAGAAACAGCAUCGGCUAACUCCGUGCCAGCAGCCGCGGUAAUACGGAGGAUGCGAGCGUUAUCCGGAUUUAUUGGGUUUAAAGGGUGCGCAGGCGGAUUUUUAAGUCAGCGGUCAAAUCGUGGGGCUCAACCCCAUCCAGCCGUUGAAACUGGGGAUCUAGAGUGUGCGAGAGGUAUGCGGAAUGCGUGGUGUAGCGGUGAAAUGCAUAGAUAUCACGCAGAACCCCGAUUGCGAAGGCAGCAUACCGGUGCACAACUGACGCUCAGGCACGAAAGCGUGGGUAUCGAACAGGAUUAGAUACCCGGGUAGUC
RNAcentral lists this ribosomal RNA (459 nucleotides) under uncultured bacterium. RNAcentral describes it as "partial 16S ribosomal RNA". It matches the Rfam family "Bacterial small subunit ribosomal RNA", at positions 338 to 795 of the family's 1533-position model. The record is from RNAcentral.